AAGUCGUAACAAGGUAACCGUAGGUGAACCUGCGGUUGGAUCAUUAAUAAAUUUGGAAAUUUUUAAAUUUCCGAACCUUGUGUGCACUAGUAUCUGUCUCUGGCAGGGUUUAACUGGGGUUUCGAAAACCUGGGUGUAACAACCUGGGUUUUUUUUGGAAUCCUUGCCUGCCGAAGGGGUCCGGUUUCGAUCGGGCGCCUUUGUAAAAACCAAUUGUCUCUUUGAUUUAUAGUCUGAUUCUAUUCACUUUUGUGAAAUGGAAAAAACAACUUUUGACAACGGAUCUCUUGGCUCUC
This 296-nucleotide unclassified non-coding RNA is filed under the name fungal sp. Its description in RNAcentral is "partial internal transcribed spacer region". The stretch from base 1 to 46 matches the Rfam family "Eukaryotic small subunit ribosomal RNA", at positions 1786 to 1831 of the family's 1831-position model. Lineage: Eukaryota; Fungi. The record is from RNAcentral.